This is a non-coding RNA of Trichonephila clavipes, 84 nucleotides long. The record is from the annotation of a GenBank genome assembly. NCBI's taxonomy places the organism in Eukaryota, Metazoa, Arthropoda, Arachnida, Araneae, Nephilidae.
GUCAGGAUGGCCGAGCGGUCUAAGGCGCUGCGUUCAGGUCGCAGUCCACUUCUGUGGGCGUGGGUUGGAAUCCGACUUCUGACA